This 460-nucleotide ribosomal RNA is filed under the name uncultured bacterium. RNAcentral's name for it is "partial 16S ribosomal RNA". It matches the Rfam family "Bacterial small subunit ribosomal RNA", at positions 338 to 795 of the family's 1533-position model. The record is from RNAcentral.
CCUACGGGAGGCAGCAGUGAGGAAUAUUGGUCAAUGGACGGAAGUCUGAACCAGCCAUGCCGCGUGCAGGAAGACGGCUCUAUGAGUUGUAAACUGCUUUUGUACAAGGGUAAACCUGAAUACGUGUAUUCAGCUGAAAGUACUGUACGAAUAAGGAUCGGCUAACUCCGUGCCAGCAGCCGCGGUAAUACGGAGGAUCCAAGCGUUAUCCGGAUUUAUUGGGUUUAAAGGGUGCGUAGGUGGAUUGAUAAGUUAGAGGGGAAAUGUCCGAGCUUAACUCGGGAACUGCCUCUAAUACGGUUGAUCUAGAGAGUAGAUGCGGUAGGCGGAAUGUAUGGUGUAGCGGUGAAAUGCUUAGAGAUCAUACAGAACACCGAUUGCGAAGGCAGCUUACCAAUCUAUAUCUGACGUUGAGGCACGAAAGCGUGGGGAGCAAACAGGAUUAGAUACCCUGGUAGUC